Molecule: long non-coding RNA, 427 nt
Organism: Mytilus trossulus (common blue mussel)
Lineage: Eukaryota; Metazoa; Mollusca; Bivalvia; Mytilida; Mytilidae
Exons: 4
Source: RefSeq, a predicted model, not a curated record
AAAAUAAUAAGAAUUUUAAUCUUGGGUUAAUAAAUAGAACUAUCGAGUACUGAUUUUAAGAAAAUUGAAUUUGAAAAACGAUAUAAUAAGAAAGUAACUUCACCUAUUGACUUUUAUGGUUUCAAGCUGAAAUGAAGAAAACUAGAUUUAAAACUGAACAUGGGUUUAAAUCUUCAUGUAGAGAAGGAGAGGAUCCCCUGGAUACUUCAAAGGUGCUGCUAGCUCCUGAACUCAUCAUCUAUGACAAUGCCUGCAAUCUUCAUUGAUACUGCUUAAAUCGUGAUCCACACUUUUUCAAAAAUACACAGUUCAAAGUUGAUGGAUUUCAUUGGGAUAAUCAUUUUGGUUGCAGUGAUAGCUAUGAAAUGAGAAGUUUUCCACAAUACAAAGACCUAAGCAGCCAAGUGGUAGAACAAUUUAAUAGCCA